GUAGUCUCGCACAGAUGCAUAUCAAUAAGCGGAGGAAAAGAAACUAACAAGGAUUCCCCUAGUAACGGCGAGUGAAGCGGGAAGAGCUCAAAUUUGAAAUCUUAAAGGGUUUCCCUUUACGAAUUGUAGUUUAAAGAAGUGUUUUCUGUUGAGGUUUUGGUAAAAGUUCUUUGGAAUAGGACAUCAUAGAGGGUGAGGAUCCCGUAUUUGACCUUUACUUUCAACUUUGUGAUACACUUUCAAAGAGUCGGAUUGUUUGGGAAUGCAGUCCAAAAUGGGAUGGUAAAUUUCAUCUAAAGCUAAAUAUUGGCGAGAGACCGAUAGCGAACAAGUACCGUGAGGGAAAGAUGAAAAGAACUUUGAAAAGAGAGUUAAACAGUACGUGAAAUUGUCAAAAGGGAAGCGUUUGACACCAGUGUUGUUUUUCUGAAAAUCAAUUAAAGAACUGUUUAUGCUAAGCUGUUUAGACUUUAUCAGCUUAACUGUUUAGUUUUGAGCUUUUCUUUAAUGCACUUUUCAGUUAACAAGUCAACAUCAAUUUCUUUUGCUGUAAAAAAGCUUGAGGAAGGUGGCUUGAGAUUCGUCUUAAGUGUUUAUAGCCUCUUGCCUAUGCAGUCGGAGAGAUUGAGGUCUGCAGCGUAGAUCCUUCGGGGCUAAAUGCAUUUGUGCUAAGUUAUAACAUUUUAUAGACAACUUGUUGACUAUGAUUUGUCUUGUAGCUUACUCGCUUAUGUUAUUUUACCUACGCUUAGGAUGUUGAAGACUCUACAGAGAUA
Molecule: ribosomal RNA, 776 nt
Filed under: uncultured Neocallimastigales
Lineage: Eukaryota; Fungi; Neocallimastigomycota; Neocallimastigomycetes; Neocallimastigales
Description: partial large subunit ribosomal RNA
Rfam family: Eukaryotic large subunit ribosomal RNA
Source: RNAcentral